RNAcentral lists this ribosomal RNA (547 nucleotides) under uncultured bacterium. Its description in RNAcentral is "bacterial SSU rRNA". It matches the Rfam family "Bacterial small subunit ribosomal RNA", at positions 355 to 896 of the family's 1533-position model. The record is from RNAcentral.
UGGGGAAUAUUGCGCAAUGGGGGGAACCCUGACGCAGCCAUGCCGCGUGAAUGAAGAAGGCCUUCGGGUCGUAAAGUUCUUUCGGUAUUGAGGAAGGUUGAUGUGUUAAUAGCACAUCAAAUUGACGUUAAAUACAGAAGAAGCACCGGCUAACUCCGUGCCAGCAGCCGCGGUAAUACGGAGGGUGCGAGCGUUAAUCGGAAUAACUGGGCGUAAAGGGCACGCAGGCGGUUAUUUAAGUGAGGUGUGAAAGCCCUGGGCUUAACCUAGGAAUUGCAUUUCAGACUGGGUAACUAGAGUACUUUAGGGAGGGGUAGAAUUCCACGUGUAGCGGUGAAAUGCGUAGAGAUGUGGAGGAAUACCGAAGGCGAAGGCAGCCCCUUGGGAAUGUACUGACGCUCAUGUGCGAAAGCGUGGGGAGCAAACAGGAUUAGAUACCCUGGUAGUCCACGCUGUAAACGCUGUCGAUUUGGGGGUUGGGGUUUAACUCUGGCGCCCGUAGCUAACGUGAUAAAUCGACCGCCUGGGGAGUACGGCCGCAAGGUUA